UACGGGGGGGGCAAGCGUUGUUCGGAAUUACUGGGCGUAAAGGGCUCGUAGGUGGCCAACUAAGUCAGACGUGAAAACCCCAGGCUCAACUUGGGAACUGCGUCUGAUACUGGAUGGCUUGAAUUCGGGAGAGGGAUGCAGAAUUCCAGGUGUAGCGGUGAAAUGCGUAGAUAUCAGGAGGAACACCGGUGGCGAAGGCGGCUUUCUGGACAGAUACCGACGCUGAGGCACGAAAGCUAGGGGAGCAAACAGG
RNAcentral lists this ribosomal RNA (253 nucleotides) under uncultured bacterium. Its description in RNAcentral is "partial 16S ribosomal RNA". It matches the Rfam family "Bacterial small subunit ribosomal RNA", at positions 524 to 776 of the family's 1533-position model. The record is from RNAcentral.